AGACAUUUCACCAGCAAAAAAGUUACUGACUAACCAAAACAAACUCAAGAACGCAGAGCCAAAAAGUGAGAGAAGAAAGAAAAAGUUUAGUCCCUAAUAAUAAGGUAAUAACAAAGGGACUGUGUCCAUGUGAGGGUAAAAGAGACCGUCCAAGGAAGGAUAAAUCAAGACACUGGAAGACUGGGAAAGCAGAUUGAAGGGACUGGCAGGAGAGGGCUCUGCUACAUGUUUUAGUAAUGACUUGGGCAUGGCACGGUGGCUGAGUAAUGGAUCUGCGCUGAGAUUUGCCGAUACAGGCGCCGUGGUCGUUGCUGCAGGGGAACGUGUAGAAGAGCGAUGGCCGGUGCAAAUGGAAGACCUGAAAAGCCAUAAGUGCGUUUUCAGAAAUUUAAUGGGAGAGCUGACCUGUGCUACAUGGUGACACACGGACAUUUGACAACAUUACRGAAGGUCUGUGCCUCAGCUGUUCCCAUCGACUUCUACAGGACGUUCUGUCUAUCGGAUCUUUGGUAAAUCAGGCUCUAUGUACCCAAAAUGUCUAUGUUUCAGACAGGUAUUUUAUGAAAUAUUCAGACUGUACUGAACCAAACA
This 591-nucleotide long non-coding RNA is filed under the name Dromaius novaehollandiae (emu). RNAcentral describes it as "lncRNA (ENSDNVG00000007307.1)". The record is from RNAcentral. Lineage: Eukaryota; Metazoa; Chordata; Aves; Casuariiformes; Dromaiidae.